This 418-nucleotide ribosomal RNA is filed under the name uncultured bacterium. RNAcentral describes it as "bacterial SSU rRNA". It matches the Rfam family "Bacterial small subunit ribosomal RNA", at positions 355 to 787 of the family's 1533-position model. The record is from RNAcentral.
UCGGGAAUAUUGCGCAAUGGAGGAAACUCUGACGCAGUGACGCCGCGUGCAGGAAGAAGGUUUUCGGAUUGUAAACUGCUUUAGACAGGGAAGAAAAAAUGACAGUACCUGUAGAAUAAGCUCCGGCUAACUACGUGCCAGCAGCCGCGGUAAUACGUAGGGAGCAAGCGUUAUCCGGAUUUAUUGGGUGUAAAGGGUGCGUAGACGGGAAAACAAGUUAGUUGUGAAAUCCCUCGGCUUAACUGGGGAACUGCAACUAAAACUAUUUUUCUUGAGUGUUGGAGAGGAAAGUGGAAUUCCUAGUGUAGCGGUGAAAUGCGUAGAUAUUAGGAGGAACACCAGUGGCGAAGGCGACUUUCUGGACAAUAACUGACGUUGAGGCACGAAAAGUGUGGGGAGCAAACAGGAUUAGAUACCC